CAUGAGUGAGACCGUUCAGCAAAUCAAAGAACAAGUGAUGAACCUCGCUCGUCGACCUACUACUUCGGCUCCCGAUGACACCGACGACGAGAGUGAUGAGGAUGAUUAUGUAGAUCUCACUCCCUAGUUUAGAUCUCUGGACAUUUAUGAACUUUUUAAAAUUUUGAAACGAAUUUUAAAAGACUUUAUAAGUCUUUAAUUUAUGAUUUAGAUACUUUUGAAUGUUAUUUUAAGUUUGUUGUUUUAUGUUUUGUUUAGAUUGUUUAUAAUUGUGUGUGUUUGAUUGGGCUGAAUAGUGUAGAAUUGAAUUGAAUUGCAUUUGCAGGUGGGCAGCAGAAGCUGCAAGCUGCUACUGUCAAAUAUAUUGCAGAAAAAGCGAUGGACAGUAUGGUUCAGUCCGUCGCUUUUUAAAAAGCUUCGGGUUAAAAAGCGACGGAGGUGACUGCGUCAUUUUUCCGUCGAUUUUGACCAAAAAAGCGACGCUUUUGGCCGUCGUUUUUUGACAAUUUUUUAGUAGUGGGAGAAUCAAGGGAGGAAUAGAAUUGUACCCGCUAUCUUGAUGAAUAAAAUUAUGUUUCUUCAGAUUUUAUUUGUGUGAUUUAUUUAUUUUCCAUAUGUUUAAAAUUUGGGCCAAACAAAUUGGCACGCCCAGUGGGACCAAAUCUGCCCUUCAUCUCUUCUCUCUUAAAUCAAAUCUGAAAAUUUGAAGCUGCAAAGGUGGAAGAAUGAGUACUUCAAGCCUCAUCUUUGAUUUUUAUCAAGUCUACACUCCGACAAGGCUUGAAGCAGGGGGCAUUUGUAGACAUUGAAAUUUUGUGGGACUCUACAAGAUGUUUUCAAUUCAAGUUGGGACUCUACUAAUUGUGUUCAACUCAAAUUAUGAUUCUUGGAGGCUACUCAACCUUAAACCCUAGUUUAUGCCUAUAUAAAGGGUACUAAAUUCCCUUAAAAGGCGAUCUCAAAAAAUUCCAUAAAGAGAUCAAGACCUCCACAAAAGACAUGGAAUAUUCAUAAAUCAUCCUAGUUCGAGAAAUACGCCACUAACGUCCCUCGAAUCAAGGGAGGAACAGAAUUGUACCUGCUAUCUUGAUGAAUAAAAUUCAUCCCUCGAAUCAAGGGAAGGACAUAAUUGUACCCGCAUAUUUAUCAAUAAAGUUAUGUUUCUUCAGAUUUUAUUUGUGUGGUUUAUUUAUUUUCCAUUUGUUUAAAAUUUGUUGCAAACAAAGUGACUCGUCUAAUUUGAAAAAAAUAUGAUCGUUGUGUUGUAGUACAUCAGUUUUGCUAUGUGUUUUUGUGUUACAAUCGCAAACCAACAUUAAAAAUUACUUUUAUAAAAUUGAAUUUUGUCUAUGAUGAGUCGUUUAAUUAAUGGUGUACAAUAGGCUGUUGGUGUUAUUCACCAAUUUGGUUUUUAUUUUUUUAAUUUUUUUGUUAUUAAAUCUUUGAUUUGUUUUGUUGGGUUUUGAGAUUCUGAUAGAAAGAAUAUUUACUGAUUAUUUGUUUUGAUAAUUGAUUUGGUUAAAUUGAUCGUUUAUAAUUAGCGAAAAUGAUGGACUGCAUCUUUGAUAUACUUUCUGAUUUUUUUUUGUGUCAUUCAGAUAUUUUUUUUUGUACAUGAUGUUGGUGUACGUAUUGAUUAUAUUUUGGUGCAUAAUGAUGGUGUAAACAGAAUAUUUAAGUUAAAACCUACUUUUGUAAAAUUGAAUUUUGUCUAUGAUGAGUCAUGUAAUUAUUGUGUAAAAUAGGUUGUUUUGUUAUUCACCAAUUUCGUGUUUUGAUUAUUUUUUGUUAUUAAAUCUUUGGUUUAUUUUGUAGGGAUUUGAGAUUCAGAAUAGAAAUAAUAUUUAGUGUUUAUUUGUUUUGGUAAUUGAUUUGGUGAAAUUGAUCGUUUUUAAUUAGCGACAAUGAUGGACUGCAUGUUUGGUGUACUUUUGGUUUUUUUUGGUGACAUUCAAAGUUUUUUUUAAUUUUUAAAUGAUGAUGGUGUACGUAUUGAUUAUAUUUUGGUACAUAAUGAUGGUGUAAACACAAUAUUUAAGUUAAAAAUUAUCAUGUUUGCAAAAAACAUUCUUUAAAGCAAAUAUAUAAUUUGAAUACAUUGAACUGACCAUGCUAUUUGAGGAGAUGCACUACUAAUAACUUUUUGUCUAAAACAGGUAGAUAUGUUGAUUACGAUAUUGAAGGAGUGAUAUAUGAUGCAAACACCAAAUAUGAAGGCUUAAUUACCACUAUUGCUUCCCAAUUAGGUGUGGACACAACAAUCUUUCAUUUAGAACUAAAAUAUGUCGUGAGUGGUCCAUCUCCACCAAUGAAGAUUCAUAACGAUAUGGGUGUCCAAGUUUAUUUAGAUAAAAAAAAUGCAAUUCUGAUUUCUUUUCAAAGUAACCAUUGUGUGUUACAUGUGUUGAUAGAGCAAUGGAAGCCAUUGAUUACCAAAUUGGUGUCCAAACAACAAAGCAAAAUAUUAUCAGAUCAACAAAGCCAUUGAUUAGUAUUUAUUAAUGGUUUUUAUUCUAGUAUUGAUAACUCAUCCAGUUCAGAAAGUUAGUUUUUUUACGGUAUAAAAUGUUCUUUUGGCGAAAAUUAGAUGUUAAAAUAGGUUCAUAUAUAUUUGUAUAUUUAAAGGUAUGUUUUAUAAUAAUUGUUGGUGUAAUGUUAUUUCAAUAGUUGGUACAAGUGUUUGUAUAUUGAAUGGUUGAUUAUUUGUUGAAAUAUGGUACAGAUUUGUAAUAUUUAUUGGCACAUAUUGAGUUAUAUCGUUAGAUUGAUACACAAUGUAUUCAUCUUAAGAACAUAAUUACUUAAGAAUUACUAUGUGGCAUUUAAUGGUAUAAGAUUACCUAUUAAUAUAAGAGUAAUUUUAUGUUACAACUUAAAUAUAUAUAUCAAAUUAUAUACCAACUUUAAAAAUGAUUGGAUAGUGAUUACUAAUUCGAAAUGUUAAGUAAGUAAUUCGAAAUGAUAAGUUACAAUUUAAAUAUAUCAAAUUGUGAAAGUUAGUUUUUUUAUGGUAUAAAAUAUUUUUUUAGCCCAAAUUAGAUGUUAAAACUUAAAAUAAUAAUUUCAUAUAUAUUGGUAAAUUUAAAGGUAUAUUUUAAAAUAAUUAUUAGUAUAACAUUAUUUCUAUAAUUGGUAUAAAUAUUUGUAUAUUAAAUGAUUGAAUAUUCAUUAAAAAUACAGUACAUAUUUGUGUUAUUUAUUGGUAUAUAUUGAGUUAUAUUGUUAACUUAACAUAUGGUGUAUUCUUAUAAACAAUAGAACUACUUUAAGAACAAGGUCAUACAUGGUAUAUACAUAUUAAUAUAAAAGUAGUGAUACUAUUUAUAAAAGUAUGUAGUGCCUAUUAAUACCAAUUGGUAAUGUUUUACCAUUUUGAACCACAACAGUUAUGAUUAAUAAUAAGAUCUAUUUAAAGAAGGAUUACAAAUUGAGAGACAACAAAAUUCAAUUUUCUGAUUGAUUAAAUAAAAAGUGAAGAGAGAGAGAAAGAAAAUCAUAAUUUUUAAAGAGAAGUAACUUAUCAGUUCCAAAAAAUCAGCAUAUUAAUUCCACAAGGAGAAAAAAAAUGGUAUAAUAUAUAUCUCGAUUUUUUUUUAAAAUUGUUAUGUUUAUAAUUAAAAAUCUUAUUUUAUAAAUAAAAUGGAAUAAAUACAUAUAUUGUUAAUUAAAGGUCUUAAACAAAAUAUUUGAUUUAAGGCUACAAUUAAUAAUUUAGUGUUAAGGCUACCCUUGAUAUUUUGAUAUGAUUGAAUAAAAAAUUAUGAGAGAGAAAAUCAGUAUAUGGGAAAAAAUAAUAAUAUAAAAGAGUAUAAUUAUGAUUGGAAAGUCAAAAUAAACAAGAAUUAUCAAUCCCAUAAAUUUAGCACAUAACCCCUCAAAAAAAGGAAAAGAAAUACGUAUACUACAAUAUAUAUAUAUAUAAAUAAAAAAUUGAAUAUUCUGUUAGGCUAGUAAUUAAAAACCUACUUUUGUAAAUAAAAAGGAGUAUAUACGUAUAUUGUUAAUUAAAGUCUUAAAUAGUAUAUUCUUGUAAUUUUUUCAUAUUGGUUUAAAAAAAGUUAAUUGUGGCCUUUUGGGUCACUUUCUUAUAUAUAUAACAAAGGAAAAAUACAUAUCUAGACAUACUUCACUAUCAUAUAUACAUAUUUUACCUCUAAUUUAAAAAUAUUACAUAUAAUACCACUUUUUAAUAAUUAUACCAUAUAUUUUAAAAAGUUAAAUUAGAUACACAAUCUCCUUAAAUAUGGUAUUUAAUAAUUAUCUUAAAACUGUAUCUCCUUUAUUAAUGGGACUUUAACAAUUCAUAUUACUUCCUCUAUCUUCACACCAUCAACCCACUCCCCCACAUUACUCACUGUUUCACAAUGCACACACAUCUACCAUUACCUCCUUCUUCCUCAACCAUUUCAAUACAUGUUUUUUUUCCCACACAUCUACCAUUACCCCCUUCUUCCUCAACCAUCUCAAUACAUGUUUGUAUGUACUAAAUUCAUAACCAAUUCUCUAUAAUCAACAUUAUAUAAAUAGGUAAAGUAAGAUUUUAUUAAGUUAUUAUGAGAUAUUGUAUUGUAACUCUGUUCUUACCAUGUUAAUGUAUCUGAUUCAAAACUCUAAUUCUUUUAAAGUACGAUUUUAGGGUUUUUACAUUGUUUGAAUCUAUUAGUUCUCCAUACUUUUUAAUGGAUGAAAAUUUACAUUAACUUUGUACAAUGAUUCAAAAGAAGGUCUCACCUUAAAGGUAACAAUACAAACAUUAUAUAUAUAAAUUUCAUAAUAUUGCAAGUAAAACAUUUUUAAGAUACAUCUUUCAUGUAUCUCGUUACGCUGGUCAUAAUGUAUCUAAAUUUAUCUUAAUUUACUGGAUACAAAUCCCAUAUUAAUAUCUAAAAUACAUGCAUAACGAAUCAUAUAUGCUACACAAAUCAUUACUUUUAGACAUAAGAUCGUUACCUUUAUCAAUGAUGUAUACAUUAUUUGUCCGAGAUACACAUUAUUUGUUCGAGAUACACAAUAUAAAAAUAUUACACAUUUUUUCAUGUAUCAUUACCACAUUAUUGUCGAAGAUACAUGCUUAACAAAAUAUACAUGAUAUAAAAUGAACAUUAAAUUAUUAAAAUGUUCAUAUACAUGCUUAGCAAUACACAAUGAAACCCAUAUAUACAUGUUUAGUUUGUUAAUUUCCCCUAAUUUACUCAUUUAAUUAAGCCAAUAAGUUACAACAUUUAAUUCAAAGUCUUAAAUCAUGUAUCUCUGUAUUUUAAACCUUAUGGAUACACGUAUCUGACGGAUCGAGAUACGCAUAUCUCACCACCAAAAAUGGUAUAGGAAGUAAUAUAAAAAACUAUAGAAAAUUCUAGUAAUUAGGAUCUAAAGUAGUGAGAUUUAUGUAGUUUACCCAUAUAACAAUUCUUAACAAACAUGACCCGACCCAAUCAAACUAGGCCCAAAUAAAAAACAACAUAAGCACGUCUAGUCUAAAAUCUGAAAAAGCAACUAAAUUAGAAUAGAAAACCGUAUCUUCUCCACAUUUGUGAUUUGUUCUCGGCAUUCAGAUCUCCAUGACUGAGUUGUUGAUCUUCUCUUCGAGGCCAUAUCGAUGUUUACUUCUACCUUGUUGUUGCUUCCAAAUGCACACACAAGUGUACGUGGUCACAUAAGUAAUAUAGUGACUCUUUAUGGAUCAAAUUAUUGAACCCAAAUGACUUACGAUUAGAUGAUAUUCAAUUUCACUAAUGAUUACAAAUUUAAUGCAAGUGCGUCAAGAAAGUUUGAUGGGUAUUUCUAAGCUAAUAAUUUCACAAUUUAAAGAACUUAAUUUACUAAUUAUGAUUCAAUUUCAUCCGGAGUCAAAACAAUGACUUCGGAAAUUCCAAGGCUACAACUUGACUAAGAAUUCCUCUCUAUGGACUUCGAGUGGUUAUCAAAUCACUAGUUUACAAGGUUAAUUAUAUGAUUACAUCUCCCGACCUCUAAUCAUCUACCACACCAUAAUUGACAGUCUAACUACCUCAUUGAGCGUUGAUAGACCAAAUCAACUGCGGAACACUAUAUUUUCAUCUCGUUUUGUAACCAGGCAUGGUAACUAGGUAUAUCCCUAUCCUAGAUACAAAUCAACACUAGUUUGUGUACUAGAAAAGAUCAUGCCUCUUAUGUUCCUUGUUCUAUCUCUCUAUUCCUCUGCCAAGUUCAAGACAUACAAUAAGUUUAUUCUAACGACGAUCAAGCAUUAAAAUAAUAAAUUUAAGAACACAAGAAUAAUUUGUAGUGAUAACCAAACUCAUUCCAUAUAUUCAAUACUACAGAAUCCUUCAUAGCCACAUCCCUAGAACAAAGGGAUUUAGCUACUCAUAAUUCGAUUUUCAAUAUUCCAAUGUUCAAUAAUCAUAAGAGAAUUCACAAGAUGAAAAAGAGUAGUAAUGAACACUAAUAUUGGAAGAGAAAGCCGUCCAAGUCUUGUCGUCCGAAAAUUAGAAAAAUAAUGCCUCAUAAUAAUAAAAAUGAGCCUACUUACAAAUUGGAAAAUCUAGCACGUCGAUCCGCGACAAAGAGUUGGUACAAACCAUCCUAUUUCCUCACCAAUGCCUUCUCCGCGACAAGGAGUCGAUAGGUACUCCACUGGUUCAAAAUCUUCUUGAGCCAACUUUUAAUUCCUAGCUCUAUGAGAUGGUGCCAAUACGAAGCUGGGUUUUUUCUCAUCAGCUCUUUCUUUCACUCUUUCGAGGCUUGCCUCUUUUGCUUCUUCACUUCCGUUUCAUCUCUAAUUCGUUUUUUUGUAAUUUUGUGCCCAUUUCAUGCGCUUUCCAUUCUACAAACUCCUAAUCACAUUGGUUAGUUGAAAUAUAUAAACAUGACUUAAACAUUAUCAAUAUAAUAGGAUUUUUCUCUCAAACUUAUCUAAAGUAUGAGUUUCAUUUGGCUUUUACACAUAUAAAUAUGUCCAAGAUCAGCAUCCCACACUUAUAGUUUUGUUCGACCUCGAACAAUUCCACACUAGACCUUAACUAAAGACUUGGCCACAAACAAGUGCUUUGGCUACAUAACUCUUAAGGCCCUUAUCACUUCUAAACCAAGCAUGUCAUAUGUUUAAUUCAAUCCAUGCAAAUAUAUUGAAACCUCAUGGCCUCAAUCAUUGUCUUAAGGACUUUUAGCAACUCAAACAUAGAGUUUCAUGCAACAUCACUUAUCCAUUGUCAAACAUGUACCCUUACCACAAAUAAUUGUCCACUUUUUAACUCAUUUUUACUGUAUGAAUUUCAAUAUCACAACAUAGAAAUACUAACUCUAAAAUUAAAUUCACAUGUUUCACACAAUGAAGUCAUAGGCUUGCUUUUAGUGUAUUGCUCCACUAAUUUAUUAUGCUAGACUAGAAACAAACACAACUUUGAUGGGUUAUAGUGUAGGCUAAGGGACGGGUAUGGAAACUAUAUAAUAGUGACUUACACUUCUCUAAGCAUGAUUUAAUGUCUCAAAUACACCUCAUACGAUUCUAGGUGUAGACGAUCAUUAUCUAGUAUAAAACCCACGAAGAGUCGGGGUCGAACCCACAGGGAGCGGUACGUGUUUUAAUUCAGCUACAAAGUUAUAAAGUGGUCUAAGCGGUUAUAGGAAUAGAAAUUAUCGAAAACAUACAAACAAGUCAAAGGGGGUGACAAUGAAUGUCAGAUGGGGGGUUUUGAUUUGCAAUUAACAGCUAAAACAAGUAUGAAAACAGAGGGAACAAUAAUAUUAAGAGGAAUUAUCGGGAUGUGAUCGAUUAUAAGCUAAUUAUGCUAUAUGGGUAAUUGAAAUUUAACAAUAAUUUGCUGAAACAUUGUGGGUAGGCUGGACUAUAAGUGCAAUAGUUUUCUCAGAAACAACUAUUACGAUUCAGGCAAUUUCUCUCGAACAUCGACAAGCUUGACAAGAUGAAAAACCCGCGAUCUUAAUAUAUCCACUCUCUCGAGCUAGAUAGGUAGGAUUGGGUUUAGGAUUCAGUCUCUCGAGCUAAACCCAUAUCAACCCAAUACCUGCAAUUAUUAAUCAAAUGCUUGAGUUCCAAAACUUCUCUCUCAACUCUUCAGAUCUUCCAAGGUCUUCUUUUGGACCAAGUUGAUGUACUGAUGCAUGAAAUUAUAAGUGCACCCCAUAACAACAUUGAUGUCAGAACUAUCGCACUUCACCUUCUUGCCUUGAACUAUCACAGAAUCAACCUGCCUGAAUAUGGUGGCCUUCUUCUUCCCUUUAGAGACCAGCUCACCGUAGGCUGAAUAAAACUCUCGGACCCAAUUGGGAAUGUAGGUGCCCCAGGGUUUGGUGAAAAUUUCAAACUUGUGGAACUUGAUAGUGUUCCACAUCUCCAGAUAUCUGUCCACCAUACUGUCGGUAGACAAUCUCUUUUCUUCCAGAAUGGUCCUUAAACCCUCUGCCUUUGGCCGAUUGAGUGACCGGGGAGGAGGACCCUGUACUGGUGGUGCUGGGACUACUUUCUUCUCUAUAGGAGGCACUGGAGCUGAAGUUGGAGGGGUAAGAGUCGGAGGCACCGAGAUUCUAGAGGAAACAUUUAGCGCCUUGAGGCUCUGCUCUGCUCUCCAGGCCUAUAUCAGUUGGUCAUCCUCAGGCUCAGAGAUGGAAGCCUGAGAAUCAUGAGAAUCCUCAUCACUGCCGAAAGUGGUGAGGUGUGUCUCGUAAACUCCCUCAUUAUCGGAGCUAGCCUUCGAUGUCUCAACCACGGGCGCCUUGCCCUUGCCUUUGCCUUUCCCUCCCUUGGUAGGAAGUUUUGAUGCCUUUUCUCGUGAUACAACUGCAUCCUCAUCUAUAGUGAUGCCUCAUGCUCGCUUCCGGGGUGACAUGUCUCUACUGGAAACUUUGGGUCUAGCCAUUCCUGUAAAACAAUGUAGAAACACUUAGAAAAAAUCAAGAAACACUUCAAAAAAUAACUGCAGGAAGACUCGCUGAAUCGGUCGGUGAGUCGUCGAACCAUUUUGGCGAGCCAUAUCAGGCUCACCGAAAGUUGCAACACAAAAAUUUCAAGAGUUCAAAGAUGGUCAGCGAUAUCCAGGGCCAUUCAACGGAUCACCGACACCAAUCGGUGAACUAGAAGUAGCUCGCCGAAAGUUACAAUGCAUUUUAAGGAAUUAGGGGAGACAAUAUAUUUUAAGGAAUUAGGGGCGCAGAAGGGCGUUCAAGAAGUACUUUCGGCGAGUCGCCAAGUGAACUCAGCGAUCUCACGCAUAUCGCCAAAAGUUACAAAACAAAAACUCAAACAUUUAGAGAAAUAAAAGGCUAUCCAGGGGAUGUUUGGCGAACCGCCAAAACAACUGGCGAGCUCGACCGAGCUCGCCAAAAAGUCCUUCGUGCCAGUUUUCACCCCAAUCUUUGAAAUCAAACCUGCAUCCCACGAAACCAAUAUUAAACACUUGCAAUAUGAAAUUAAAGCAAGAACCAUACUACCCAUGCCCUCGGUCUACUCAGACUUCCCCCAAUUUGGCCAAAAUUGGCAAAUUGACGUCUUUUGCCCUUAAGAAUGACGUCAACCACUCCAUAAUUUGGAAAAAUAUGACAUUUAGCACAGUCCGAGGUUACUCAGACUUCAUUCUGCUAGGCCCAACACAGUUUCAACACAACCCAACAAUUUUGACUCAAUUUCAACAAUCAAAGACACAUGAAUCAUGAUUAAAGGCCGAUUAAAAAUGAUUUCACUUAAAAUUAGGCAAACAAAAACGCACACGAUGAUUACCCAAUGAUAUUCAAUAACAAAAUACCAUUUUCAUUCAAGUUCAACCAUAUAUAGAGUUUGGGACUCGGAAAACCAACCUUUUAUGUCGAAAUGAGAUUUGUAAAGCUAGGCAACAGAGUAAAUCCAAAUUCUAUCUCGAGCAAUGGUCCUGAUAAAAUGAUAGUAAAGGAGCAAAAAUAUUGAAAACUAAUAUCGGUGAGAGAGUACGGGAAUUGAAAAGGUGAGAAAAUGAAGGAUUUUUUAAUUCAAAACCAUUUGUCCCAUUUUAAAACCUUUGAGUUCGCGCGCCCAUCGGCGGUAUAAGUCGGGCUCACCGAUCCACUCGGCGAUGCGCCGAGUGGUAAUUUGGCUCGCCUAGUUUUAUAGAACUCCCAACAAUUUGGAGGUUCAAACGGCGGACAAAGUCGGGCUCACCGACCUGUUCAACGAGUCGCCGACUGAUCCUUUGGCUCACUGAGUUUUACAGAGUUCCUUAUCAAGCUUGGUGGUUCCAACGGCGGUCCAACUCGGGCUCGCCGACCUCUUCGGUGAGCGGCCGACUAGACUUUUGGCUCUCCUAAUUGCCCAUUUUCCAACACUUUUCACUUUUCAACCUGCAAAAUUAACACCCAUUAUUCAAAAUCAACAUUUAAAACAUCAAAAACUUGGGUUGGCUCCCAAGAAGCGCCUUAUUUAAGGUCGUGGCACGACAGAAAUACCAAUUCAAAUUUCAUUUUUGGGGUUGGAUGUUGUGUUACUAGGCAACUCCCUUUUUGCCGUGUAUUCAAUUGAGUCGAGAUUUGACCCAUUUGUGUCUCCAGCUAUUUAAUAGAGACUGAAUGAGAAGUCACUAUUUGAUUGAGAGUUGAGACAUCCUCCUUCAUCUCUUUCAACACUUUGUCCGACCUUUCUACCUUAUUGAGAAUGCGUGCAAACAUGUCUUCCGUACGGAUGUUCUCCGGGUCUGCUCUAUGCUCUUUAGGAUUUUGGCAUUCAUAAGGUGGGACGUAUCUUUCCUUUUCACCAUCCCUUUCCUUCCAAGUAGCAUUACGAUUACGCCAUUCCCUGUCAUGAUCUCUCCAUCUAUCAUCUCUAUUCCAGCCCGAAUUUCCACCUGGCCUUGGGUAAUUUGAACGAAAUCCUCCUCCUUGAUUUGCAAAUAAGUUCACUUCCUCAUUGUACAACGCUUCAAAUUGUGCUUCCUCGGGGUUUACUCCACCAACACCCACAACAUUUACACUCUUUAACCCUCUUCAAUUCAGAUGAGGGGUUUUGAUUUGUAAUUAACAGCUAAAACAAGUAUGAAAACAUGGGAAACAACAAUAUUAAGAGGAAUUCUUGGGAUAUGAUCAAUUAUAAGCUAAUUAUGCUAUAUGGGUAAUUGAAAUUUAACAAUAAUUUGCUGAAACAUUGUGGGUAGGCUGGACUAUAAGUGCUAUAAUUUUGUCUCGAACAACUAUUAUGAUACAAGCGAUUUCUCUCGAACAUCGAUAAGCUUGACAAGAUGAACAACCCACGAUCUUAAUAUAUCCACUCUCUUGAGCUAGAUAGGUAGGAUUGGGUUUAGGAUUCAAUCUCUCGAGAUAAACCCAUAUCAACCCAGUACCUGCAAUUAUUAAACAAAAGCUUUGGUUCCAAAAUUUUUCUCUCAAGCAAGCUAAGAACUCUAUGCUAGAAUUGCAUUUGCAACUACAAAUCAUAGAUUAAAACACAACUAAUGAUUAAACCCACAUUAAAAUAACAAUUUCAUCAUUAAACAACAAUACCCAUAAGAUAAUUAGACAAAUAAAUAUAUGAUCACACCCUAAGAAUUGGGGUUUUAGCUACACAUCAUAAAAAGAGAAAAAUGAUUACCAAAUACAUUAGCCAUGAUCUGGGUAAAGGUUCUCAAGUCUUUAUAACGGUCCAAAUUGAAUAAAUUCAGAAAUGCACUUGCAAAUCCUCAAAAUUAAGCUUAGAAAUCCUCAAAGUCUACAAUGGAAAACUAUAAAACUAAGAGAAAACUCUAAAUCUCAAAGGGAACUGGAACUCCCUCAAAUUUCAUUUAAAAUUCAAAUUUAUAGUUUCCCAAUAUUUGGCCUAAAAGGCCAUUGGGAGAAUAAGUCGGGCCUUGCCGAACAGGUCGGUGAUCCUCCUUUUGCUCCAAUCCAUCGCUGGUUUGCAUUGGCCAUUUGUCCUCAGGGUUAUGUGACUUUAGGAGAUCAAGGUUGCCAUCACGGAGUCAAUCGCUGAUUCGCCGACUACCCAUUUCUGUCACCAAGUUGGUUCUUCCCUACGGCUGGCACGGUCGAACUUUGGGUGGGCUAAAGAGCCACUCGGCGGUUGGUCGAGUGAUCUUGGCGAUCAGCAGGAUCGCUUUUCUUCACUUCUUCAGCUUGUUUGCUUCUGUUGGCCUGGUAGUGUGAUGAAUCCAUGAUUUGGACUCUUAUAGGGCUUUAUUUUGAUAGAUUUAGUGUCCUCCAGUGCAUAUUUCAUCUCAAUAACUGAUGAAAAUCUUUGAGUUUCAGGUAUUUGGAGUUAGAGACAAAGCAUAGACACUAUUGGGCAGAAAGGAACAAGGCAACUAAAAAGAACGAAGAAAAGAUGACCUGUGGAUCGCCUAAACCAUUAGGUGAGUCGCCGAAUGGCUAUGGUCUCGCCUAAUGUUCCAGUGUGCUAAGCUUUGAAGGAGAAAAUUGAGUCGGCGAGAUAAAGGAGCAGUCGGUGAAUCACCGAACAAUUCCGCGAUGCAGUACUCCAUCGCUCAAUGUUACAGAACUUGAAUUUGCUGAAGGCCAAUGCAGAAAUGCAAUGAACCAGACCAAAGGGUGGAUCACCGAGUGGAUCAACGAUCCCGACUAACUGCGUCGAUUUGUCCUUCACAACACACUUUUUGACAACUAUAAAUACUUGUUUGAAUUUUUAGUUUAGUAUGCAAUCUAUAGCGAAUUUUUAGAAUAUCAAACAUUAUUCUCAGUUUUUAGAACUUAGUUUUAGAGACUUUGUUCCUUAGCUUUUGAAGAUUUGAAGAUUCCCAUUCCUAAGCAAUUGGAAGUGGGUAUUGAAGACUCUUCAUUUUAGACAUGUGUAAAGACAUUAUCUAUCGUACCCACUUAAUAAAAACACUUUUUGGUAUCGAUUUGUAUCUUUUUACUAUGCCAAGCUAAAACCCCAAUUUUGGGGUGUGAUUAUGUGAAUAUGGGUUGAAUUUACUGUUGGGUAUUGCUAAUUGAUAGUUAAUUUGCUAUUUAAAGGUGAUUUUGUUCAGUAGUUGAGUUUGAAUUUAAUAGGAUUGUAGUUGCAAAUACAAUUUUAUCUUCGUGUUUUUUGCUUGCUCGAGAGAGAUGUUUUAAAACCAAAACUAUUGAAUCUAUAGUCGAUGGUUAUUGGGUUGUCGUGGGUUCAGCUCAAGAGAGUGAAUCCUAAACCCUCUCCCACACAUUCAGCUCAAGAGAGUAAAUGGACUAAAGCGAAGGCUGUGCUAAAUUGCUGCUUAUCGGUGUUCGAGAGAAACCGAUUUGAUUCGGAGUAAAUUGCUCGAGAGAAAAUUUAUCCCCACUAAAGUCUAGCUUAGUUACCAAUUUACAGCGAUUUACUAUCAAUAACAUUUACCCGGUUGUUUAUUUUAGCCCAUAAUCCUAUCACAUCCCAAGAAUCCCGUCUCCAUAUUCGUAUUUCUAUAUUUUUGCUGUUUUGAGUUGCUAAUUUGACUACAAAUCCCUCUUGAUAAUUGCCACUUGUGUCACCCUUUAAUUUGAUAUGUUUUUCUUCGCAUAUGUCUUUAGCUAUAAUUGACUUAACGAAGUUCUUGCUUUCCUAUUAAUUCUCAAUUACAAACUCCUCCCUUCGGACUCAACCCCAACUCACUAGUUGGGUUAUAUUACUAUUGAAUGAUCAUUGUUGCUUAGUAUUGGAUGAAGCGUCACUGAUACGUCAAAUCAAAAUGGCGCCGUUGCCGGGGAUUUGUGUUAGUUGAGAAUUUUUUGUUAAGUUGAAUUUUUUUCUUUAUAGUUAUAGACUUAUAGUGAUUGAUGAGUCCACAAACUGGACUGAUUUAUGGCUUUAUUUUAAUAGAAAUAGUGUACUCAAAUGCUUAUUUAGUCUAAAUAUUUGAUGAAAACACUUAAGUUUCACGUAUUUGAAUUUUAGUGGAAGCAUGAACACUUAGGCGCAAAAAAAUCUGAAAAGAACGAAGAAGCUGAAGUCUGAGCAUCGCCAAGCAUGCUUGGCGAUUCGCCGAAGGGACGCACUCCGCCCUUUGUUCCAGUAACCGAAGCCCUGAAGGAGAAAGAUAAAAAAGGCGAUGAAAGGAGUAAUUGGCGUUUUGCCAAUUAGUUUUGCAAAGUAGAAGUAUACCGCCCAAUGAUCCAGAAUGCACAGAUGCUAAAGUCAAAGCACAAACGGCGAUGAACUAGAAGAAGGGAGAAUCGCUGAGUCAUUCGGCAUUCGUGACUAACCUCACCGAGCAAUCCGCCAGUACUAUUUGCUGAAGUAUAUAAAUACUAAACUCUUUACUAGUUUUGAGGGAGGGAGAGCAGAGUCUGAACAUUAUUGUAAUUUUCACUUUAAAUUACAUAUUUUCUCUCAAGUUUAGAGAGGGUUUUGUGGGAGACUUGAAGAAAGGAGUUCAUCUUCCCCAAAUUGGAAGUGGGUCUUCUCUAUUCUUCUUUCUUUGCUUAAAUCAAGGUUUAAUUUCUUAUACCCAUUUGAUCUCUCUAUCAUUUUAGGUAUAAUGUCUUAUUUCUUGUUGUGUGGCUAAAAUCCCCCAUUCUUAGGGUGUGAUAUAGCAAAUAUGUGUUGAUAUUAUUGUUGGGUUUUGCUUGCUGAUAGGUUAGAUGUAUUUUAAUGGUGAUUUCACCUAGUGGUUGUGGUUUUAUUUAAUGGGUUUGUAGUUGCAAAUACAAAACCACCUAUGUGUUGUCGGCUUGUUCGAGAGAGAGGUUGCGAAACCAUGACCGCUAGACUGAUGGCCUAAGGAGUGGGUCGACAUGAGGUUUAGCUCGAGAGGGUGAGCCCUAGUCCUAUAUCCUUACACUCAGCUCGAGAGAGUGAGUGGAGUAAGGCGUAGGCUGGCCUUCAUGCGGCAAAUGGGUGUCCAAGAGGAACCCAUUUGAAACGGGUAAGUUGCCCGAGAGGGAACUUAUUUCCAUCUAAAGCUUAGCCUAGUCACUGUUAUCUUGCUAAUUUCCUAUCGAAAGCAUGUACCCAACAAUUUAUAUCAAUAUAUAUAUCGCUCACAUCCCAAGAAUCUCUCCCCAUACUUGAUUUCCUUUAUACUUUACUGUUUUUAUUUGAUCUCGUGACAAAACUCCCUAUUGUUAAGUGACACUCUUGUGUUCCCCUUUAACUUACAAUGUUUUUAAUCGUUAAAAUCUUUAGCUACGAUUAGCUUUAGCACAUUUGCGCUUAACCACUAAUUUUCACGCCCACUCCCUUGCGACUCGACCCCAACCCUUGGUUGGGUUAUUAUACUAUUACAUGAUCGUAGACACUUGCAUCAGAAGUUGUGUCGUUGAUUACUCAAAUAUCAAAAUGGCGCCGCUGGUGGGGAGUGGUGUUACGUGAAGAUGUAGUUAGUUAGAGAUUUUAAUAUUUUUUAUUAUAGUUGUCACUGAUUUAAUUUUUAUUCUUUUUUGCGUGUUUGUGUAUUGACAUAGAGGAACGAAAAAUGGAAAACCACUACGACUUCACACGGAUCAUCCCCUCUUGAAACCGCUGAACCUCAGGGACAACCUCCUGACCUUUAAGCAAGUAUGGGAUGAAACUCUUGAAGAAAUGUGGUUAAAAUUUCAAACAAUACUAAGUCCAUGCCCGUCUCAUGGGAUGACUGACAAAGCGUUACUGGAAUGCUUCUAUAGAAGUUUGGGACCUGAAAAUAGAAGUAACACGAAUCAACUGUUCGCAGGUGGUGUGCUAUGUCAACCCUAUGAGGUCGUAGCAAAAACCCUUGAUGGCAUGGUUGAAGCCAACAAGGAGACAAAGAAACAAAAAGAGUGGAAUACACUGAUUACUAAGUUGGAUGUUUUGUCCAACCGAGUUUUGGCAUUGGAAGCGCAAGCCGUAGAAAGGGAGAAACAUGUCACCCUCCAAGAGUGCCGAAAUGGGAAGAAACAUGGAAGUGAACGAGAUGAUGAGGUCCUUUCCCUCAUUCAACAAAAGAUUACCGAACAAAACAAGAGGUUGAAUGAGAUGAAAGAUAACAUGGAAAUGCUAAAUGAGGUUUCCACCUCAAACUCCAUGACUAACCAGCUGCAGGAUGCUCAAAUUUAGCAUUUGAUGACAGGUCGCUAUCAACCGUUCGCCGAGGACUCACCCAGCUACACCAUGGGCGACUCUAAGGAUGAGGAAUACAAGGCUGACUUGUAUCGUGCCACGACGUUAAUCUAAGGCGCUGCUUCGGAGGCAACCCAAACCCUUUUUAAUUGAUUUUAUUCCUUGGUGAAAUAAUGGUGUGAUGCUUGUAUAGAUUGAAGUUAGGGAAAUGUUUGAAAAGGUGUAUGAAGGCGAGCAAAUAAUCCAAUUGGCGUGCCGCCGGCUUAUUCGGCGACCUCGAUCUUUUCCGCCAUCUGACUCUGUGUUUGCUCGAAAAACACCAUCAUCUUGGAUCCUGUAAAAAUCGGUGGUCGAUAAGUAAUGAGAGGCGUGUCGCCAACCAUGUCGGUGACCUCGAUGUAGACCGCCGUUAGGAUUCUCACAUGAGAUGCAGGUCCUAUUUCAUUAGGCGAAGUUAGUAAUUACUUGGCGCUUCGCCGAGUGAUUGAGCGAGCCUGACUCACAUCGCCGAAUGGGUGGUAACUGAACAGUUUUUGCAAGCCACAUGUUUAAAAGUACUACUUCAUUCAUUUCCUCUCACUUUUUCAUCCUAUCAAACUCACACCUGCACUUUAGCUUUAUAUUUCUUGCAAUUCUAAAGUAUUAUAACUGUCGAAUUGUGCGCGGAUUUGGAUCGCAUUGCUGCCUAGCAUGUCAGUACAAUCUAAUUCAGCACCAAAGGUUGAUAAUCAAACCCCUCAGUUAUUUUAUCAAAAUGAGUACUUAUUUGCAUAAUGAUUGAUAGUAUAAAAUCUCUGCUGAGUCUCCGAGUUACUGGGAUUGCAUGUAUUAUGGAUUAUGAUUCAGUAGCUUUCGCGUGAUUUGAGGGACUCCCAUUCGACUGUGUUUUGAGUUGAAUUUUUUUUUUUCGCUGGGGAAAAUGUGAAACUCCUAUGGGUUUUCGUUGAAAUUGUGUUAUUUAAGCCUAAAUUGCAUUAUCUGGUUUGCGGGGUGAAAUUUGAAAGAAAUAGGUUAAAAAAUAGACACGUUUGGCCAGAUGAACAAAACUCACCGAAUUGCUCGGCGGUUCGCCUAAUGUCCUCAUUUCGCCUUUGAUCGAUUGAUCUAUGGCUUUCGACGGUCAGCCUAAAUUGCAAAUUGCACUCGACGACUCGCCCAAAGACCCUUUGUCUGCGCCCUUGUAUCAUUCGUACAUCAUUUUCAACGAAUAUCAUAGCUAGAUAAACACUUCACCAACUAGUUUGGCAAAGCAAUUUUGCACUUGGAACCCUCCCUUCUCCUGUUUAAAUUAUUGUCUAACUUGUAUUCGAUGUUUUUGCAAAAAUGGCUAGACCAAAAGUUGCAGGGAGAAAUGAACCACCCCGGAAUGUAAGAGCACGUGAGUUUAAAUAAGAUGAAAAGAAAGCAGAGCUAGCCAGACAAAGGAAAUAUACCAAGGAAGCUAGGGUCAGAAGGAGGAUUCCUAUUGAUCCCACCAUUCCUCCGUGGAGACGCAAAUUUUACACAAUAAUAGAUUCCUUUUUGGUGGCUCAUGAUGUGGAUAGAAUGGGUGAGGCUAACAUCACUGCGGAAGCUAAGGACAAUGAAUACAAUGCGAACCAGAUUGAAAACACUUCGGGAGCUAUUGUUUUAUAUCAAGCUGAUUCAUCAAACACCAAUGCACAGGCAGAUGAAGCGAAUGCAUAAUCAAGACCCCUCUUGACCUUCCGCUCUGAGUUUCUUUAUUUUUACUGCUAAAUACUUUAUCACUUGCGUUUGAGGACAAACACUUUUCUGUGGUGGGGUGAGGCCCACACCUUUGAUAUUGUUUCAAAUGUUGUUUUUCGUCUAUACUUGGGUUGUCUGUUUGAUAUUGGGUUGUUUUUUUUGCGAUUGUUUGAGCUUAGGGCUCUCUUUUGGGUUUAAUUGAAAAAUUAUUUUGUUUUACCCUUUCGACAAAUUUUCAUUUUUUGAAAAUUUUCGCCACCUCUUUCGUUGAAAGUGGCUGUUCUGGUACAAAUUUGAGUCUCGGUUUCGAUCAAUAUCGAUGACUUGAAUGGUGCUCUCAAUUGAACAAUCAUGAACGUGUGGCCGCGACGAGACCAAAUGAAGUUGCAUAGACAAUAUGUGAACUCUUUGCAUCUCGUUGUGAUUAGCCAUUUAUCGAAUUGAUUAUCUUGUAAUGACCAUUGCACACUACUGAAAGUGUGUGGUUUUGUUUGACUUAAGUAUCAAUGCCUUGUGUGAUGAGCUUACUUUGAACCUUGUAUGAAUAAACCUAAAAUUUGCCCCGUUAGUCUGAUUGAUUUAGUAAGGUGUGCUCUUGAAAUGAUCUUAGGCAACUUUUGAAGAGUGUGAGCCAAAUAUGACAUAUACGCGUGUGGAACUCUCUUGAACAUUACCUUUCUUUGGAAGAACCUUGAUAAACCCUAGACCUUACUUGACCCACUACGUAUAAUCCUCUUGAUUUGUGGUUUAGUGAAUAGCCAACUUAGGCCAAAAGCCUAAGUUGGGGGUAUUGUGAAAAGGAAAAGGAGAAGUCAAGAAGUGCAAGAAAAGUCUCCCUUAACCCAUGGUGUUGCGGAACAAUGAAAAACCUCUAUAAAAAAAAGUUGUGGAAUAAAAGUACAAAAGAAAUUGGGUUUCCAAGCAAUCCAUGGAGGUAAAUAAAAAAAUGACUUAGAAGCACUAGAAAAAGAAUUGAUAAAGAAAAAGAAGGGGAUGCCUUGAGAAUACCACAUCUCAUGAGUAAAAAGUCACUAAGCCUAAAUGACCAUACCAUUGCACUCAGCCCCAUUACAAGACUUAGAAAGACCUUUUUGAUCUUGAGUGAGCCGAACCAAAGAUCGAUUGGAAAAUAAGGGCAAGCCUAUGGGUGAAAACAUGCAUUGUGUUCCUCUUUUUGAGUGUGAGCGUUGCAUCUGAUUCCUGAUCUUGAAUUGAUUAACCUGUGUGUGUGAAUAAUGGAAUCAUUCUUUAUGUGAGGGCAUUUAAAAUGCUUUUUGUUGAGCUUGAACUUGAACAAGUAGCAAAGUAUUUCGAGCAUGAGAAUCUUUGGUAAUGGUGUGUCACAACUUGAAUCUUUGAGUACACAAUUGAUCUUUGCAUGAGUAAUUUGAGUCUUGUUGUAUAUGUUCAUGAUUUAGUGUUGUGUAGCACUAUUUGAGACAUCCUAUUUGAACUGCUGAACUUGAGUUUCACUCGAGGACAAGCAAAAGUUUAAGUUGGGGUGUUGAUGAGUCCACAAACAUGGACUCAUUUAGGGCUUUAUUUUUAUAGAAAUAGUGUCCUCAAAUGCUUAUUUAGUCUAAAUAUCUGAUGAAAACACUUAAGUUUCAGGUAUUUAAAGUUUUAGUGGAAGCAUGGACACUUAGGCGCAAAAAAGGAACAAAAAGGCUGAAAAGAACGAAGAAGCUGAAGCCUGAGCAUCGCCAAACAUGCUUGGCGAUUUGCCGAAGGGAUGCACUCCGCCCUUUGUUCCAGUGCGCGAAUCAUUGAUGGAGAAGGAUCAAAAAGGCGAUGAAAGGAGCAAUCGACAUUUCGCCGAUCAGUACUGCGAAGCAGAAGUAUACCGCCCAAUGAUCCAGAACGCACAGAUGCUAAAGGCAAAGCACAAAUGACGAUGAACUAGAAGAAGGGUGAAUCGCCGAGUCAUUCGGCGUUCGUGACUAACCUCACCGAGCGAUCCGCCAACACUAUUUACUGAAGUCUAUAAAUACUAAACUCUUUACUAGUUUUGAGGGAGGGAGAGCAGAGUCUGAACAUUAUUGUAAUUUUCACUUUAGCUUUCAUAUUUUCUCUCAAGUUUGGAAAGAGUUUUGUGGGAAACUUAAAGAAAGGAGUUCAUCUUCUCCAAAUUGGAAGUGGGUCUUCUCUAUUCUUCUUCCUUUGCUUAAAUGAAGGUUUAAUUUCUUAUAACCAUUUGAUCUCUCUAGCAUUUUAGGUAUAAUGUCUUAUUUCUUGAUGUGUGGCUAAAAACCACCAUUCUUGGGGUGUGAUUUAGCAAAUAUGUGUUGAUAUUAUUGUUGGGUCUUGCUUGCCGAUAGGUUAGAUGUAUUUUAAUGGUGAUUUCACCUAGUGGUUGUGGUGUAAUUUAAUGGGUUUGUAGUUGAAAAUACAAAACCACUUAUGUGUUUUUGGAUUUCUCGAGAGAGAGGUCGCGAAACCAAAACCGCUAGAUUGAUGGCCUGAAGAGUGGGUGUACAUGAGGUUCAGCCCGAGAGGGUGAGCCCUAGUCCCAUAUCCUAACACUCAGAUCGAGAGAGUGAGUGGGUUAAGGUGUAGGCUAGCCUUCAUGCGGCAAAUGGGUGUUCGAGAGGAGUCCAUUUGAAACGGGGUAAGUUGCCCGAGAGUGAACUUAUUUCCACCUAAAGCUUAGCCUAGUCACUGUUAUCUUACAAAUUUCCUAUCGAAAGUAUGUACCCAACAAUUUAUAUCAAUAUAUAUAGCGGUCACAUCCCAAAAAUCUCUCCCCAUACUUGAUUUCCUUUAUACUUUACUGUUUUUAUUUGAUCUCAUGACAAAACCCCCUAUUGUUCAGUGACACUCUUGUGUUUCCCUUUAACUUACAAUGUUUUUAAUCGUUAAAUUUUUGAGCUACGAUUGGCUUUAGCACAUUUGUGCUUUACCAAUAAUUUUCACUCCCACUCCUUUAGGACUCGACCCUAACCCUUGGUUGGGUUAUUAUACUAUUGCACGAUCGUAGACACUUGCAUCGGAAGUUGUGUCUCGGAUUACGCAAACGUCAGUGAUGCUUACUAAAUUUUUAGUGUUAAUCUUUGUGUCGCUGUUUUGAGUAGGAAAUUGGAACAUGUCUGGCAGAAAUGGUGACCAAAUGGACCUCUCUCUUUUGAGGAUGAUGUCUCUUAGGGAUAACAUCCUAAGUUUUAGACAAUUGGAGGGGGAGUCCAUCCAUGAAUUGUGGAUGAGAUUUAAGACACACUUCCUGCAAUGCCCCGCUCAUGUAAUCUUAGAAAGUGUGCUGUUGGACUGUUUCUAGAAAAGUCACUGCCAUAAAAAAAAAGAAUGUCUGACCAAAUAUUUCCUAGGGGUCUCUCACGACUACCCUAUGCAAUAGCAGCCCAGAUCCUUGAUCACAUGGCCAUGACCAACAAGGAGAUUGAGAAAGACCAUAUUUUGGCCACACUGUUGACUCAGCUGGAUCUAGUGACCAAGAAGAUCAUGUAAUCGGAAGCACUAGAUAAAAGGAAGGACCUGCACAUUCCCCCUCAUGAACGUAUAAAGCCCAAUGCGAAUGAGGGUGGACAAAUAGAUGAGAUCACUCAUUCUCCACAAAGUCAAAAGUCACGAUAAGAUGUUGAAUGAGAUAAAUGAGAAUGUCUUACUGCUGAAUGAGAUAACUGCUUCCCAAUUCAUAUUUGUUCAGCUACUGGAGACCCAAAUAGGUCAUGUGUUGUCUCGUCUCUACCCCACAAAUCAAAAUUAAAUGGGGAAGUCAUGCCACGACGUUCAAUAAGGCGCUUCUUGGGAGACAACCUAAGGUUUUUUUCUUUAAAUUGUUAUUUUAUAAUAAUGGUGUGUUAAUUGUGUAGGUUAAAGUGUGGGAAAUGUUUGAAAAGUGCAGAUUGGCGAGCUAAAGUCCAGUCGGCAAAAUGCCAAAGAGGUUGGCGACCCCGACCUUGACCUACCGUUGGACUCAAGACAAAUUCAAAUAGGAGUCUGUAAAAUUCGGCGAGCCUAGGAAAUUAUUGGCGAGUCGCCGACCAGGUCAGAGAUCUCGAUCUAGUUCGCCGUUUGGAUCCUCACUAUAACUGGAGGUCCUAUAAAACUCGGCGAGGUAAGUGGUCACUCGGUGUGUCGCCAAGUGGUUCGGCGAGCACGACUAACGUCACCGAAUGGGGGAGAACUGGACGGUUUAUUAAAAGGCCAAAGGUUUAAAAUUUCAAACUCUUUCAUUUUACCUCAUUUUACAUCUUUCCAAACUCGCACCUACUUAGCAUUUUCAAUAUUUCUGCAUUCUAUAAGUAUUUCAGUUGUCGGAUUUGUGUUCGGAGUGGAUUACAUUGCUGCCUAGCUUUUCAGCCCUUAUUAUUCAGCAUUUGAGGUUGGUUUUCCUAAUCCUGCAUUUAUUUUUAGUAAUUUGUACUCUUAUGCAAGCAAUAUUAUGUUGAUGAUGUCUGCUGGGCCUCUUUGAUAGGAUUAGAAUGUUUGAAUGCAUGUUUGUAAUUCGAUAAUCCUGUCCGUAAUGUUUUCAAUGUUAAAUUCUAGUCUUUUUGUGCUCUAAAAUGAAGUAAAUUUUGUGGGGUUGUGUUUGCAUAUUAUUUGGCUUGGUUGGGUGAAGUCUCAGUAGCCCAUAUUUGUUCCAAACGAUGUAAUUUUCCUAAUGAUAGAGCGGGUGACUUCGUUUUUAAGGGCAAAUGUCGUCAAUUGGUCAAAUUUAGCAAAACCGAGAGAAGUCUGAGUAUCCCGGGGCAAUGGGUGUUACGGGUCUUCUUUGAAUUUGAGUUGGGCAUGGUUUGAUUUUUUUUUUGGAAGUUGCGGGGUUGUAUUCGAGAAGUUGGGUUGAAAAUAGGCACGUUGGGUCAUUUGGUGAGCUGGGUCGAGCUCGUUAAACGACUCGGUGGUUUUCCUAAUUUCCCCAUCUCGCCUUUAAUUUCAUGCUUUAUGGGUUGUUGUGUUCUGUAACUUUUGGCUAGAAGCCUGAGGUCGCCGAAGGCACUCGGCGACUCCCCGAAGGCCUUCUUGAUCGCCCUUUGUCUGCACCCCUGAAACCUUUUUGCACUUUAACUUUCGGCGAGCUAAUUAUUACUAACCGAAAGUUAUUGGCAAUUCGCCGAAAGACCCUUCCCUUUAACGACUUGCCUAGAAUUUUGAGCCAAUCCUUUUGGCGAGCCCGACCUCGCUAGCUAAAGCGAUUCGGCGAGUCACAGAUUGGUUCAGUAAGUCUUUCUGCAACUGUUUUUCUAUAAAUUUGACCAAGUUAUUUUUAACUUUUUCUUGAUGUUUUGCAGGAAUGACGAGGAAAAACAUAGACAUGCCACCCUGUAAAAGAGUACAGUGUAUCACUAUCAAUGAAGGGGGAUCAAAUCCUUCAUAAAGAGGAAGGCAAGAACCUACACUAGGUGACAAAGGAAAAGGAAAGAGACCCAGGUCUGACAGGGCUACUACUGGCUCCCAGGCAUCUCUAUUUGAACCUGAUGAUGACCAACUUCUACAGUCCCGGCGGUUUGAGCUCCGAGAUAGAUCUCACACCACGUCCAACAAAGUCCCUCCUACAUCCACACCAGCAGAAUCAGUGCCAACUCCGGCACCUCCUGUGGCUCCUGUGCCUCCAGUUGUUCCUCCAUCUAGACUCCUCAAUAGGUUGAAAGGAGAUAGUUUGCGAAUUAACCUCGAGGAAAAGCUACUAUCUACAUAUGGUCUGGAGGGCAAGUACUCCAGUGUAGCAGAACUAUUACAGUUGCACCAGUUCCAUAUUUUUACCAGGCCCCGAGGUCCAUUUAUUCCUACAUGGGUCCGUGAGUUCUAUACAACAUAUGGUGAACUAGUGCCGAAGAGGAAAAAGAAGGCCAGCGAGUUCAGACCGGUUAAGUUGGUCACUGUUUGAGGUGUAGAAGUGAGCUGCAGUGAGGAGUACAUUAAUGAUGUAUUAGAUAGGCCUCUAGAGUCUUCACUCUCAUAUGAAGGUGUGCCUACGACACAAACUCUGGAGGAUCUAAAGGGUUGGCUUUACCCCUUAUUUCUGAUACCAUUCCUAGGUGGAUUGAGGCGGGAGUCGAGAUCGAAAAAAGGAUUUGAAUAUAGCUGCCCGCUGUUGGUUCAGAUUCAUCAGUAGUUCACUUAUGCCUUCACAGAACGAAUCUAUCCUCCGACAUGCAAAAGCAGCCUGCUUGUGCUCUAUCUUAUCAAAGACGCAGCUCAACUUGAGCCUUAUUAUAGAACAGGAGAUGGCCAUGAGAGCUAAGCAGAAACAAACCUCUUUUCUCUUCCCAGUACUGAUCACAGAGCUGUGCCAGCAUGCUGUUGUGCCCCGAGAUGUUGUUAGCGAUUUUGAUGUUACCCCGUCCUCCUCCAAUGACAUCCGGCGCAUUGAGGCUGAGUAUACUAGAGAGGAGGCUGACAGGAGAAGGAUAGCUCUAGUGGAUACAUCCUCGAAGGUGGACGUUGAUUCAAUACCUACAGAGGCAUCUUUGCCUACUCCAACCUUCGGGUCUUCAGGUACUUCUAUCCCUUCCUCUUCUUCAUAGACUCUAGGCAUACCCUCUUCCUCCCAGCCGACCAAGAUUACUCAGGUGAUGAUCCUGAGGAUAGGGCAUCUGGCCCAUUCAACUGAGGUGAGGGCGGCCUGAUUAGAGAGGUCUGUCCCCUUGAUGAUUGAGGUUGCGAUCCUAGCUGCACUGACCCCCUGCAGACUUCUAUUGACACUUUCACUAUGAGGGUUGAAGCUUGUGAGAGCAGGUAUAGGGAGACCUCAGAGAUUUUGUCUUUGAAAGCCAAGGUAGCAGACCUGAUGAAGGACGUAGACUAUUUGAAGUCUACCGACUUCACUUUAUUACUAGAGGCUGGAGAUGAUUCGGAUGCUCCUAAGACUUUAGAGAUCCCGCCGGCUACUGCCGGAGAUGUACCCAGGGAUGUUGAUGAGUUAGAUGCUAAGACUGAUGAGGAGCAAAUAUCGAUAUGGGAGGAGAGCAUAUAUAGAGACCUACCGGAUCUUGGGGAGACGAUCAUCCAGUCGGUGAUCCAUACAUCACAGAUCGAGACUUCUAUGGAAGCUCAUAGUGGAUGUGGUACUGCUGUUUCUUCUGAGGCGACUCCGGGCAGUGAUGCCCAAGUCCAGACUGAUCCACCGGGCACUGAUGUUCAGACAGAUGGAGCGACUGCUUAGAUAGGAUCCUCUCUUUACCUCCCUCUCUGUCUUACUUUUAUUUUGACUUGUGGAUAUUAUAUUUUUGUUUGCAUUUGAGGACAAAUGUUUUUUAUUUGUGGUGGGGUGAGGCCCACCUUUUGUGUGACAUUCAUAACUCUUGUUUUGUUUAUAUUUGUCUUUGAGCUACAAAAAUUAUGUUUUUACACUGCUUUUGUGGAUGCUUGAGCUUGUGGCUCCUUUCUUUUAAUUGUAAAUGAUUUUUGACCCUUCCUAAAAAUUUUGCCACCUCUUGUAUGUGUUGAAUGUGGAUGUUCUCUUGCAAAUUUGAGUACCGAUUUUGAUUAAUACCAAUGACUCGAAUAGUGCUCAUAAUCGAACAAAAAUGAAUGUGUGGCUACGACGAGGCUAAUUGAAGUUUCAUAGACAAUAUGUGAACUCUUUGCAUCUCAUUGUGACUAGCCAAGUAUCGAAUUGAGUCACUUGUGAUGCAUAUUGCAUACCAGCAAAAGUGUGAAGUCUUGUUUGACAUUGGUGUCAAUGCCUAGUGUGAUGAGCUUACCGUGAACCAUGUGUGAUGACACCUACAUUUUUCCCCGUUGGUCCGGUUUACUAAGUGAUGCAAUUUCAUGAGAUGAUCUUAGGAGACUUUAAAGAGUGUGAACCAAUUUGACAUUAUACCUCUUUUGUGGGUUGCCUUGUGAGUGUGUGAACCUCUUUUGAGCAACCUUUGAGCCUUAAUCUUUUCUUGGAAGAAACUUGAUAACAUUGCUACCUUUUAUUGACCCAUUACCCAUAUUCCUUGUGAUCUGUGGUUUGUUUGAAUAGCCAACUUACGCCAAAAGCCUAAGUUGGUGGUGUGGUAAAAAGAGAAGGCAAAUCAGGAAAAUGCAAAGAAGUCCCUUUUGCCCAUGUUUUGAGAAAAAAUGGAAGCCCUCCAUAUAAAAAAAAGAUAAGAAAAGAUUAAAAAAAAAAACAAAACAAAAGAAGGAAAAAGUUGUGGAAAUACAAAGAAAAUGAGGUUUCCAAUGAUCCAUGGAAAAUGAAUAAGAGGUGACUUUUGAGCUUGAAUGAAAAUAAUGAAGAAAAGGAAAGAAGGUGUUGUUCACAUCACAUUUUGUGAGGAUUUCAGCCAAUAAGCGUAAAUGACCAUACCUUUACACUCAGCCCCAUUACAAGCCUUGAAAAGACCUUUUUGAUCUUGAAUGAGUUGAAGCAAAAGUCGAUUGGAAAAUAAGGGCAAACCUAUGAGUGAAAUCAUGCAUUGUGUUUAUCUUUGUGAGUGUGAGUGUUGAUCUUGAUUCCGGAACUUUAAAUGAUUGAACCAUUCAGUGAAUAUGGAAUCAUUCUUUGUGUGAGGGUAUUUGAAUACCUUUGUUGAGCUUGAACUUGCAUUUGAAGCAAGUAUAGUGAGCUUGAGAUUCUUUGGUAAUGGUGAGCCACAACUUGAAUCUUUGAGUGUACAAUUUAUCCUUCCACGAGUAAGUUGAGUCUUUUUGUGUGCAUUCAUGAUUGAGUCUUGUGUAGCACUGUUUGAGACAUCCUUUUUGAACUGCUGAACUUGAGUUUUACUUGAGGAAUAGUAAAAGUUUAAGUUGGGGGUGUUGAUGUGUUCACGAUUUGGACUCUUUUAGGGCCUUAUUUUGAUAGAUUUAGUGUCCUCAAAUGCAUAUUUAGUCUCAAGUUGAAAAUCCUUGAGUUUCAGGUAUUUGGAGUUAGAGACAAAGUAUGGACACUAUUGGGCAGAAAAGAACAAGGCAGCUGAAAAGAAUGAAGAAAAGACGGCCUGAGGAUCACCUAAACCAUUAGGCGAGUGGUUGAAUGGCUUUGGUCUCGCCUAAUGUUCCAGUGUGCCAAGCUCUGAAGGAGAAAAUCGAGUCGGAGAGAUAAAGAAGCAGUCGACGAGUCACCGAAUGAUUCCGCGAUGCAGUACUCCAUCGCCAAACGUUACAGAACUUGAAUUUGCUGAAGGCAAUGCAGAAAUGCAAUGAACCAGACCAAAGGUUGGAUCGCCGAGUGGAUCGGUGAUCCCAACUAACUGAGCCGAGUUGUCCUUCACAGCACACUUUUUGACAACUGUAAAUACUUGUUUGAAUUUUUAGUUUAGUGUGCAAUCUAUAGCGAAUUUUGAGAAUAUCAAACAUUAUUCUCAGUUUUUAGAACUUAGUUUUGGAGACUUUGUUCCUUAGCUUUUGAAGAUUUGAAGAUUCCCAUUCCUAAGCAAUUAGAAGUGGGUAUUGAAGAUUCUUCAUUUUAGACGUGUGUAAAGACAAUAUCAAUCGUACCCACUUGAUGAAAACACUUUUUGGUAUCAAUUUUUAUCUCUUUACUAUGUCUAGCUAAAACCCCAAUUCUUGGGGUGUGAUUAUGUGAAUAUGGGUUAAAUUUACUACUAGGUAUUUCUAAUUGAUAGUUAAUUUGUUGUUUAAAGGUGAUUUCGUUCAGUAAUUGUGUUUGAAUUUAAUAGGAUUGUAGUUGCAAAUACAAUUUUAUCUUCAUGUUUUUGGCUUGCAAGAGAGAGAGGUUUUAAAACCAAAACUAAUGAAUCGCUAGUCGGUGGUUAUUGAGUUGUUGUGGGUUAAGUUCGAGAGAGUAAAUCCUAAACCCUCUCCCACACAUUUAGCUCGAGAUAAUGAAUGGACUAAAGUGAAGAAUGUGCUAAAUUGCUGCUUAUCGGUGUUCGAGAGAAACCGAUUUGAUUCGGGGUAAAAUGUUUGAGAGAAAAUUUACCCCCACUAAAGUCUAGCUUAGUUACCAAUUUACAGCGAUUUACUAUCAAUAACUUUUACCCGGUUGUUUAUUUUAGCCCAUAAUCCUAUCACAUCCCAAGAAUCCCUUCUCCAUAUUCGUAUUUCUAUAUUUUUGUUGUUUUAAGUUGCUAAUUUGACUGCAAACCCCCCUUGAUAAUUGACACUUGUGUCACCCUUUAAUUUAAUAUGUUUUUCUUCGUAUAUGUCUUUAGCUAUAAUUGACUUGAACGAAAUUCUUGCUUUCCUAUUAAUUCUCGAUUACAAAUCGCUCCCUUGGGACUCAACCUCAACUCACUAGUUGGGUUAUAUUACUAUUGAACGAUCGUUGAUGCUUAGUAUUGGAUGAAGCGUCACUGAUACAUCAAAUCAUAGUGUCCUUGCCUUGCUUCUUAGUGUCUACAUACUUGAAAAUCAAGGCUUUAACAUCAGUUUAUAUUAUAAAUUAGUUAUUUGAGGACACUAAAACUAUCAAAACAAAUCUCUAAAUGAGUCCAAAUCUCAGACUCAUCAAAGCACUUUGCCAUUGUAGACUUCAUUAUCCAUUAUUUUCUUCUCUUUAUUUUUAAGCUUUCUCCUCAAUACUCUAUUUCACUAGCAAUUUCACUUCAUCAUCUCAAGAAUGUGUCAAUGAGUAUUUUUUUUUUCAUGUCACAUUCUUUUAAUUAGAGUUUUGUCAUCACCUUGUGGCUAUCUGUAACACCUCAGAUUUAAAAAAAAAAAG
RNAcentral lists this long non-coding RNA (28220 nucleotides) under Solanum tuberosum (potato). RNAcentral describes it as "long non-coding RNA (STUB_LNC005841)". Lineage: Eukaryota; Viridiplantae; Streptophyta; Magnoliopsida; Solanales; Solanaceae. The record is from RNAcentral.